RNAcentral lists this ribosomal RNA (286 nucleotides) under uncultured bacterium. RNAcentral describes it as "partial 16S ribosomal RNA". It matches the Rfam family "Bacterial small subunit ribosomal RNA", at positions 338 to 640 of the family's 1533-position model. The record is from RNAcentral.
CCUACGGGAGGCAGCAGUGGGGAAUAUUGGACAAUGGACGAAAGUCUGAUCCAGCAAUGCCGCGUGAGUGAUGAAGGCCUUAGGGUUGUAAAGCUCUUUUACCAGGGAUGAUAAUGACAGUACCUGGAGAAUAAGCUCCGGCUAACUCCGUGCCAGCAGCCGCGGUAAUACGGAGGGAGCUAGCGUUGUUCGGAAUUACUGGGCGUAAAGCGCACGUAGGCGGUUAUUCAAGUCAGAGGUGAAAGCCCGGGGCUCAAACCCCGGAACUGCCUUUGAAACUAGAUAG